Bos taurus (domestic cattle) is the source of this 968-nucleotide long non-coding RNA. NCBI's taxonomy places the organism in Eukaryota, Metazoa, Chordata, Mammalia, Artiodactyla, Bovidae. The record is from Ensembl.
GACCCACUCCAGUAUUCUUGCCUGAAGAAUCCCCAUGGACAGAGGAGCCUGGUGGGCUGCACGCCAUGGGGUUGGAAAGAGUUGGACACGACUGAACUACUAAGCACGCAGCUCUUAUUAUCUGGAUUCUUUGUGGCUUCUCUGACGUUCCUGCUGCCUCACUUUCCCUGGUGCUGCGAGAAAAAUCCUGGGUGGCUUGAUACAUAUUAAGAAGGAAUGGCUGAACUCCUGGGAUACAGAACUGACUGGCCAUUUGUUGGGACUUGGGACAGUGUCGGCAGUUAAUGAUUUGAAGCACAUAAGCAGCUGUAGAGGAGCAGAAGGUUGGGAAGGGUGUGUGGGGGGUGAGUUCCAGAGGAUGCCCAGCUUGGGGAUGGAGAGCACCACUGUACCCGGAAGUAGAUUUGGGUUACCUGAAAAAAGCAGAGAAUCUCAGCAAAUAUCCUCUCCCUGUUUGAGACAGAGGUCUUCUCUCUCCUGAUUGCAGGGUCAGGAAUUUUGUGAGGGGAAGCAUUGCCCUUCACACAGCAGUUUGUCAGCUGUCAGCAGCUCCUGACAUGACAAAAUCCCAAAGCAGAGAGACUGGGGCUGCGUAAUACAGAAGUGCCCAGUUGUCUGAGUUGAAAAGAGAGGAAAACAUCAGAUGCUGCUUUUCAAACAAAGACCCAGUUUCAUGCUUAACACCACAAAGAUAACUUGGUUUUCUGUUCUUAGGAUUAAAAAAAAAAAAGCGGGGGGGGAACCCACCAAAAAACCUUUGUACCUUUGAAGUAAGAGCAAGCUAUGUGAAAUGAAUUUUAACCAGGUUCUGCCAAUAUCUAUCAGCACCAGCAUUUCAUAUUGCAGAUAAUAAGCAUCUGGGGAAAAUGACAGGCAAGAGCAAGGGAAAUCUGGAGGCAAGGGCCAGAGUUUGCAGUAUCCAGGUCAGACAAGGGUUCAGAAGACUUUUGGGAUGAGGGUGUGACUAG